UCUGGCUCAGGAUGAACGCUAGCGGCAGGCUUAACACAUGCAAGUCGAGGGGCAGCGGGUGUAGCAAUACAUGCCGGCGACCGGCGCAAGGGUGCGUAACGCGUGAGCAAUCUGCCCGUAUCAGGGGGAUAAGCGAUGGAAACGUCGUCUAAUACCGCAUAACACAUUGGAUGGCGUCGUCUGAUGUUGAAAGCUUCGGUGGAUACGGAUGAGCUCGCGAGACAUUAGUUAGUUGGCGGGGUAACGGCCCACCAAGACCGCGAUGUCUAGGGGAACUGAGAGGUUGGUCCCCCACACUGGAACUGAGACACGGUCCAGACUCCUACGGGAGGCAGCAGUGAGGAAUAUUGGACAAUGGUCGGAAGACUGAUCCAGCCAUGCCGCGUGAAAGGAAUAAGGUCCUAUGGAUUGUAAACUUCUUUUGAGAGGGAGCAAUAAGGUGUACGUGUACACCGAUGAGAGUACCUUUCGAAUAAGCAUCGGCUAACUCCGUGCCAGCCGCGGC
This 505-nucleotide ribosomal RNA is filed under the name uncultured bacterium. Its description in RNAcentral is "bacterial SSU rRNA". It matches the Rfam family "Bacterial small subunit ribosomal RNA", at positions 18 to 518 of the family's 1533-position model. The record is from RNAcentral.